RNAcentral lists this ribosomal RNA (499 nucleotides) under uncultured microorganism. RNAcentral describes it as "bacterial SSU rRNA". It matches the Rfam family "Archaeal small subunit ribosomal RNA", at positions 234 to 734 of the family's 1478-position model. The record is from RNAcentral.
UGGUGGGGUAACGGCCUACCAAGCCUAAGAUCCGUACGGGCCAUGGGAGUGGGAGCCCGGAGAUGGACCCUGAGACAAGGGUCCAGGCCCUACGGGGCGCAGCAGGCGCGAAACCUCCGCAAUGCGGGAAACCGCGACGGGGUCAGCCGGAGUGCCGAUGCUUGCAUCGGCUGUCGGGGAGCCUAAAAAGCUCCCCAUAGCAAGGGCCGGGCAAGGCCGGUGGCAGCCGCCGCGGUAAUACCGGCGGCCCGAGUGGCGGUCACUAUUAUUGGGCUUAAAGCGUCCGUAGCCGGGUUGGGAAGUCCUCCGGGAAAUCUGGCCGCUUAACGGUCAGAAUGCCGGAGGAUACUCCCAGCCUAGGGAGCGGGAGAGGCCGAGGGUAUUCCCGGAGUAGGGGUGAAAUCCUAUAAUCCCGGGAGGACCACCUGUGGCGAAGGCGCUCGGCUGGAACGCGUCCGACGGUGAGGGACGAAGGCCAGGGGAGCAAACCGGAUUAGAU